RNAcentral lists this ribosomal RNA (497 nucleotides) under uncultured bacterium. RNAcentral describes it as "partial 16S ribosomal RNA". It matches the Rfam family "Bacterial small subunit ribosomal RNA", at positions 28 to 507 of the family's 1533-position model. The record is from RNAcentral.
GAUGAACGCUGGCGGCGUGCCUAAUACAUGCAAGUCGAGCGAACAGAUGAGGAGCUUGCUCCUCUGACGUUAGCGGCGGACGGGUGAGUAACACGUGGAUAACCUACCUAUAAGACUGGGAUAACUUCGGGAAACCGGAGCUAAUACCGGAUAAUAUAUUGAACCGCAUGGUUCAAUAGUGAAAGACGGUUUUGCUGUCUCUUAUAGCUGGAUCCGCGCCGCAUUAGCUAGUUGGUAAGGUAACGGCUUACCAAGGCAACGAUGCGUAGCCGACCUGAGAGGGUGAUCGGCCACACUGGAACUGAGACACGGUCCAGACUCCUACGGGAGGCAGCAGUAGGGAAUCUUCCGCAAAGGGCGAAAGCCUGACGGAGCAACGCCGCGUGAGUGAUGAAGGUCUUCGGAUCGUAAAACUCUGUUAUUAGGGAAGAACAAAUGUGUAAGUAACUAUGCACGUCUUGACGGUACCUAAUCAGAAAGCCACGGCUAACUACGUG